UUUAAUAAUGACCAUGCUCAACAACCAGCUUGCUAGGAAAGCAGCAAUUUGGAAUAAAAGCUGGCAUGCCUAAAGUCUUUGGGAGGCAGGGGAUGCUUACUUCCUUUGGCUGCCUACAUGC
RNAcentral lists this small nucleolar RNA (121 nucleotides) under Carlito syrichta (Philippine tarsier). RNAcentral describes it as "Small nucleolar RNA SNORA67 (ENSTSYG00000021802.2)". It matches the Rfam family "Small nucleolar RNA SNORA67", at positions 27 to 143 of the family's 143-position model. Rfam says of the family: U67 belongs to the H/ACA class of snoRNAs which are thought to guide the sites of modification of uridines to pseudouridines. The record is from Rfam by way of RNAcentral. Lineage: Eukaryota; Metazoa; Chordata; Mammalia; Primates; Tarsiidae.